RNAcentral lists this ribosomal RNA (273 nucleotides) under uncultured bacterium. Its description in RNAcentral is "partial 16S ribosomal RNA". It matches the Rfam family "Bacterial small subunit ribosomal RNA", at positions 27 to 297 of the family's 1533-position model. The record is from RNAcentral.
GAAUCAACGCUGGCGGCGUGCCUCAGACAUGCAAGUCGAACGAUUAAAGCUCUCUUCGGAGAGUGUAUAGAGUGGCGCACGGGUGAGUAACACGUAAGGUAAUCUACCUUCGAGUGGGGAAUAACGUCCGGAAACGACGCUAAUACCGCAUAAUGCAGCGGCAUCGCAAGAUGACAGUUGUUAAAGAUUUAUCGCUUGAAGAGGAGCUUGCGGCAGAUAGCUAGUUGGUAAGGUAAUGGCUUACCAAGGCUACGAUCUGUAACCGGUCUAAGA